This 132-nucleotide ribosomal RNA is filed under the name uncultured bacterium. Its description in RNAcentral is "partial 16S ribosomal RNA". It matches the Rfam family "Bacterial small subunit ribosomal RNA", at positions 223 to 354 of the family's 1533-position model. The record is from RNAcentral.
GGAUGGGCAUGCGGCGCAUUAGGUAGUUGGUGGGGCAACGGCCCACCAAGCCGACGAUGCGUAGGGGUUCUGAGAGGAAGGUCCCCCACAUUGGAACUGAGACACGGUCCAAACUCCUACGGGAGGCAGCAG